UACGGAGGGUGCAAGCGUUGUCCGGAUUUAUUGGGUUUAAAGGGUGCGUAGGCGGCCAAUUAAGUCAGUGGUGAAAGCCGAUAGCUUAACUAUCGAACUGCCAUUGAUACUGAAUGGCUUGAGUACAGUUGAGGUAGUUGGAAUGAGUAGUGUAGCGGUGAAAUGCAUAGAUAUUACUCAGAACACCGAUUGCGAAGGCAGAUUACUAAACUGCUACUGACGCUGAGGCACGAAAGUGUGGGGAUCAAACAGGAUUAGAUACCCUGGUAGUCCACACUGUAAACGUUGGAUACUCGAUGCGCGCGAUAAACAGUGCGUGUCCAAGCGAAAGCGAUAAGUAUCCCACCUGGGAAGUACGCCCGCAAGGGUGAA
Molecule: ribosomal RNA, 372 nt
Filed under: uncultured bacterium
Lineage: Bacteria
Description: bacterial SSU rRNA
Rfam family: Bacterial small subunit ribosomal RNA
Source: RNAcentral